Molecule: non-coding RNA, 1276 nt
Organism: Leptonychotes weddellii (Weddell seal)
Lineage: Eukaryota; Metazoa; Chordata; Mammalia; Carnivora; Phocidae
Source: RefSeq, a predicted model, not a curated record
GAAGUGCAUUUCAUUUAGAGACACACAGAGAGAGGGCAAGAAAGAAUCCAGACUGCACCGCCGGCCUGGUCUGCUAAUCUCGCCAACCCUCAAAAGGGAGGCGUUUUGAAUCCUGCUUUCUUAAAUUCUCCCUUCGCUUGUGACUGAGGAGCCCUGGACUUUGGAGAAAUUCUUUGCUCUUAAUCCUUAGGCCUUGAGGAGCAAAGUACUCUUGGUUUUCAGUAUCCCAGAGUGGCUAAAAACCAGCACCUAGAAGGACAAUUAAAAGAGGACAUAAAACAGGCAACAAAUCUCCACACUGAUUAGUCAACAGUGGAAAAUCUGAAGAGAUGCAAGUAGGAAAAAGAAACUAAACCAGGCCUGAGGAGCGAUGCGACAGGCGUGAUGGAGGUUGAGUCCUCCUACUCGGACUUCAUUUCCUGUGAGAGGACGGGCCGUCGGAACGCGGUCCCGGACAUCCAGGGGGGCUCUGAGGCUGUGAGCGUGAGGACGCUGGCUGGAGACAUGGGCGAGCUGACACUCGAGGGCACAGAAGGACAGACAGAGGUGGGCACCCCAGAUAAGGAAGCUAGCAACCAGCCUGAGAGCAGCGAUGGGACCACCUCGUCUUGAGUCUGACCUUGCCCAUGGAGGAUGGAAAAGAGACCUGCCAUCCUCGCCUGGACAGGGAGCCCUGGCACUGGCCUCGCAGCCUCUUCUCUGAGCCCCCGUCCCAGACAAGCCAGGCCCGAGUGAAAAGGCACCCCCAGAGGCCACCGUGGCCCCUACCCUGUAAAAGCCCUCCACCUGCACCCUCAGGCUGCACUUGCCCACCACCUCUUCACUGUGCCCAGGUACACUUUCAAGACCCUGUAGCUGUGGGGCAUUAUUUAUUCAGCGGGCACCUGAGUGAGCAGCCCCCGCAAGAAUGCCCCUCCACAGGUGGCCUGGGCAGCAACCACAGCCCAGCUCUGCACCCCCCUUCUCCAAGCCCAACCUUCUGGGUCAAGAUCUUCAUAUCCCUUUUUUUAAAAACACUUUUAAACUUUUUAAAAACUUUUUUUCAGCAGAGAGGGAGGGAGCUGUGUUUUUGUUUUUUGGUUUUUUGGGUCUUUUUUGGAAGGCAUUAUAAGUUAAAUUGACCAUCUGUGCAGCUCUGCGUCCCCUCAUGGAGCUCCACAGAUCCAUUUCUAGGGAAGGGGUUUUAUGCUCAAAACUGUCUGAUCAACUCUUUGCCCUUUCUACCAAGAUAAGUGACACCUAGGACCCAGGAAAUAAAUGCUGAUGAUUUGUGUGA